Molecule: non-coding RNA, 167 nt
Organism: Meloidogyne enterolobii
Lineage: Eukaryota; Metazoa; Nematoda; Chromadorea; Rhabditida; Meloidogynidae
Source: the annotation of a GenBank genome assembly
GAUUACGACCAUACCGCGUUGAAAGCACGCCAUCCCGUCCGAUCUGGCAAGUUAAGCUACGACACUUGGUCAAUUGCACUUUGGUCUACUUUGCCUGAGGCAAUUUUUAAUCGGAUCGUCACAGACUCAUAAACCAAAAAUGCCUGGUGAAAUUUGAUUGCCUGGGU